GUCGAGCGGAACGAUCCUAGCUUGCUAGGAGGCGUCGAGCGGCGGACGGGUGAGUAAUGCAUAGGAAUCUGCCCGGUAGUGGGGGAUAACCUGGGGAAACUCAGGCUAAUACCGCAUACGUCCUACGGGAGAAAGCAGGGGAUCUUCGGACCUUGCGCUAUCGGAUGAGCCUAUGUCGGAUUAGCUUGUUGGUGAGGUAAUGGCUCACCAAGGCGACGAUCCGUAGCUGGUCUGAGAGGAUGAUCAGCCACAUCGGGACUGAGACACGGCCCGAACUCCUACGGGAGGCAGCAGUGGGGAAUAUUGGACAAUGGGCGAAAGCCUGAUCCAGCCAUGCCGCGUGUGUGAAGAAGGCUUUCGGGUUGUAAAGCACUUUCAGUGAGGAAGAAAGCCUUGGGGCUAAUACCUCCAAGGGACGACAUCACUCACAGAAGAAGCACCGGCUAACUCCGUGCCAGCAGCCGCGGUAAUACGGAGGGUGCAAGCGUUAAUCGGAAUUACUGGGCGUAAAGCGCGCGUAGGCGGCGUGAUAAGCCGGUUGUGAAAGCCCCGGGCUCAACCUGGGAACGGCAUCCGGAACUGUCAGGCUAGAGUGCAGGAGAGGAAGGUAGAAUUCCCGGUGUAGCGGUGAAAUGCGUAGAGAUCGGGAGGAAUACCAGUGGCGAAGGCGGCCUUCUGGACUGACACUGACGCUGAGGUGCGAAAGCGUGGGUAGCAAACAGGAUUAGAUACCCUGGUAGUCCACGCCGUAAACGAUGUCGACUAGCCGUUGGGGUCCUAGAGACCUUUGUGGCGCAGUUAACGCGAUAAGUCGACCGCCUGGGGAGUACGGCCGCAAGGUUAAAACUCAAAUGAAUUGACGGGGGCCCGCACAAGCGGUGGAGCAUGUGGUUUAAUUCGAUGCAACGCGAAGAACCUUACCUACCCUUGACAUCGUGCGAACUUGGUAGAGAUACCUUGGUGCCUUCGGGAACGCACAGACAGGUGCUGCAUGGCUGUCGUCAGCUCGUGUUGUGAAAUGUUGGGUUAAGUCCCGUAACGAGCGCAACCCUUGUCCCUAUUUGCCAGCGAUUCGGUCGGGAACUCUAGGGAGACUGCCGGUGACAAACCGGAGGAAGGUGGGGACGACGUCAAGUCAUCAUGGCCCUUACGGGUAGGGCUACACACGUGCUACAAUGGCCGGUACAAUGGGUUGCGAAGCCGCGAGGUGGAGCUAAUCCCAUAAAGCCGGUCUCAGUCCGGAUCGGAGUCUGCAACUCGACUCCGUGAAGUCGGAAUCGCUAGUAAUCGUGAAUCAGAAUGUCACGGUGAAUACGUUCCCGGGCCUUGUACACACCGCCCGUCACACCAUGGGAGUGGACUGCACCAGAAGU
RNAcentral lists this ribosomal RNA (1373 nucleotides) under Halomonas sp. RNAcentral's name for it is "bacterial SSU rRNA". It matches the Rfam family "Bacterial small subunit ribosomal RNA", at positions 61 to 1427 of the family's 1533-position model. Lineage: Bacteria; Pseudomonadati; Pseudomonadota; Gammaproteobacteria; Oceanospirillales; Halomonadaceae. The record is from RNAcentral.